Molecule: long non-coding RNA, 513 nt
Organism: Papaver somniferum (opium poppy)
Lineage: Eukaryota; Viridiplantae; Streptophyta; Magnoliopsida; Ranunculales; Papaveraceae
Exons: 2
Source: RefSeq, a predicted model, not a curated record
CUUGGGUAGAGAUUUGAUGGCUGCAGCAGCUAGAUUUGCAUGCUCAGAUGCCAAUUCAAUAGCCCUCUGUAUUCCAUUACUCUUGCCAAGGAUUUCAGAGGCCUAAAAAGUUUAAGCAAGGCAUAAAGUUAAGAAGUUGUAGCAAGCAAGAUAUGUGGACAGGUGUGAAUAUAUCACAGUAGCGUUGCACAAUGAUCAAUCACUAUAUUGCAAUCCUUUCUCUUAUUAACAUACUUCAUUCACUGAUCAGUUUUACUUCAUUUCACUUCCACUAUGUAUGCUUACGUAACAGUCGAUGAAGGCAGGGAAACUAGUUUUAUGUACUAGUCAAGAUAUAAGAAACAUUCUAGGAGAAGCAAAAUUUGAGAUGACAACAACUCACCAGAUUCCUGCCGUAGUCAUACGCUAACAUGGAAACUUCUGCUGUUUGUCCUGUGAUAAUAGAAACUGCUUGGCAGCUGUUCGAUAUCAAUGCUGCCGUUUUGUUAUACGUCUUUUCCAUAUAAUAUUCCA